RNAcentral lists this signal recognition particle RNA (273 nucleotides) under Nanobdellota archaeon. RNAcentral's name for it is "Nanoarchaeota archaeon signal recognition particle sRNA". It matches the Rfam family "Archaeal signal recognition particle RNA". The record is from RNAcentral. Lineage: Archaea; Nanobdellati; Nanobdellota.
GGGUGGGCUAGGCCGGGCUGCUGGGCGUAGCCUGUAACCGCAAAUCGUCCUCAUGGCGGGGCCGAAGCCUUGAGGGCGGCCUCCUGGGGAGGGAGGACCCAUCCCUGGAGCUGCGAAGCCUCGUCCCAUGGGGCGUCAUGGGGCGUGAACCCGUCAGGUCCGGAAGGAAGCAGCGGUAAGCGCUUCAUGGCGUGCUCAUGGGGGUGCGGGGUGGAGCGAAGGGGGUGGACAAUCUUCCCUUUCCAGGAGUUCCACCUCGAGGCGCGCCCACCC